GCUAUUCUGUGACUAGGCCUGUUCUGUGACAGCGCCCCCAUUAGGCUGAGGAACGAAUCCCUGUUGCCUUCCUUCUGAGAACAGC
Molecule: small nucleolar RNA, 85 nt
Organism: Octodon degus (degu)
Lineage: Eukaryota; Metazoa; Chordata; Mammalia; Rodentia; Octodontidae
Product: small nucleolar RNA U83B
Exons: 1
Source: RefSeq, a predicted model, not a curated record